RNAcentral lists this ribosomal RNA (492 nucleotides) under uncultured bacterium. Its description in RNAcentral is "bacterial SSU rRNA". It matches the Rfam family "Bacterial small subunit ribosomal RNA", at positions 903 to 1397 of the family's 1533-position model. The record is from RNAcentral.
AAAUGAAUUGACGGGGGCCCGCACAAGCGGAGGAGCAUGUGGUUUAAUUCGAUGAUACGCGAGGAACCUUACCAGGACUUGAACGCAUAAGGAAUAAUGUAGAAAUAUAUUAGUCGAAAGACCUUUAGCGAGGUGCUGCAUGGUUGUCGUCAGCUCGUGCCGUGAGGUGUUAGGUUAAGUCCUGCAACGAGCGCAACCCUUACUGUCAGUUACCAGCAUGUAAUGAUGGGGACUCUGGCGGAACUGCCCGCGCAAGCGUGGAGGAAGGUGGGGAUGACGUCAAAUCAGCACGGCCCUUACGUUCUGGGCGACACACGUGCUACAAUGGGGGGUACAGAGGGCAGCUACACUGCGAAGUGAUGCGAAUCUCAAAAUCCUCUCUCAGUUCGGAUCGGAGUCUGCAACUCGACUCCGUGAAGUUGGAUUCGCUAGUAAUCGCGCAUCAGCCAUGGCGCGGUGAAUACGUUCCCGGGCCUUGUACACACCGCCCGU